RNAcentral lists this transfer RNA (66 nucleotides) under Chamaeleo gracilis. RNAcentral's name for it is "tRNA-Ala". Lineage: Eukaryota; Metazoa; Chordata; Lepidosauria; Squamata; Chamaeleonidae. The record is from RNAcentral.
GAAAGUCUGUUGAAAAUACAACACCUUAUGAAUGCAACUCAAAUGCUCUAAUUAAGCUAAGACUUC